RNAcentral lists this non-coding RNA (45 nucleotides) under Schistosoma margrebowiei. The record is from RNAcentral. Lineage: Eukaryota; Metazoa; Platyhelminthes; Trematoda; Strigeidida; Schistosomatidae.
AUUCAGCUGACGAGUAUUAAAUAAGACGGAAUGCGCGUCCUGGAU